This 72-nucleotide transfer RNA is filed under the name Felis catus (domestic cat). It matches the Rfam family "tRNA". Rfam says of the family: Transfer RNA (tRNA) molecules are approximately 80 nucleotides in length. Their secondary structure includes four short double-helical elements and three loops (D, anti-codon, and T loops). The record is from Rfam by way of RNAcentral. RNAcentral also lists the same sequence under 2 other names. Lineage: Eukaryota; Metazoa; Chordata; Mammalia; Carnivora; Felidae.
GCCUGGCUGGCUCAGUUGGCAGAGCGUGCGGCUCUUCAUCUGAGGUUGUGGGUUCGAACCCCACGUUAGCUG